This is a small nuclear RNA of Callithrix jacchus (white-tufted-ear marmoset), 135 nucleotides long. The record is from Ensembl. NCBI's taxonomy places the organism in Eukaryota, Metazoa, Chordata, Mammalia, Primates, Cebidae.
ACCAUCCUUUUCUUGGGGUUGUGCUACUGUCCAAUGAGCACACAGUGAGGGCAGAACUGCUAACACCUACCAAAAAGAUAAAUAAGGCCUGGUGCAGUGGCUCAUGCCUGUAAUGCCAGCACUUUGUUUGGGAGG